UGGGCAACCUGCCCCUCUCUCUGGGAUAACCCCCGGGAAACCGGAGCUAAUACCGGAUACUCCGGCUGGAUCGCAUGGUCCGGCCGGGAAAGGUCCGCCGGAGAGGGAUGGGCCCGCGGCCUAUCAGCUUGUUGGUGGGGUAACGGCCUACCAAGGCGACGACGGGUAGCUGGUCUGAGAGGACGACCAGCCACACUGGAACUGAGAUACGGUCCAGACUCCUACGGGAGGCA
RNAcentral lists this ribosomal RNA (233 nucleotides) under uncultured bacterium. Its description in RNAcentral is "partial 16S ribosomal RNA". It matches the Rfam family "Bacterial small subunit ribosomal RNA", at positions 118 to 350 of the family's 1533-position model. The record is from RNAcentral.